CUUUUCCAUCGUCCAAUCAGAAUGCAACGUUAGUAAAACGCAGUUAGUUAAACGUUCGAUUUGUGCUCGUCAUUCGAUUUCGAACUUUUCUUGUUGACGUUGUUUUUUCGAACGUGUUUUUUCUGCUCGAUAUUAAAAAUUAAAAAUUAGCUACGAAAUUGAUGAAAAUUGUUUGGACGGGCGAUGAUGCAAUCGACGAAAAAUGAUCAUUUUCUCAAUGGCAUUUAUUCAAGUUUUUUCAUUAUGGUGCUAAUUAGCAUUUCCGGGAUCGAUUGACUUCCAGUAAAUGAUGGAUCAUCACUGAGAAUAUUGGGAUUCAAAUUUUCAAUUUCAUGAAUCAGAUUUGGACAUUAAAUCUUGGAACAUGAAUGGGAUCGUUGGACAUCGAAUAUUCAAUUUGGGAUCGAUUUGGAACUGGACAAGA
Molecule: long non-coding RNA, 424 nt
Filed under: Dermatophagoides pteronyssinus (European house dust mite)
Lineage: Eukaryota; Metazoa; Arthropoda; Arachnida; Sarcoptiformes; Pyroglyphidae
Description: uncharacterized LOC113794029, transcript variant X3
Source: RNAcentral